This 305-nucleotide ribosomal RNA is filed under the name uncultured bacterium. Its description in RNAcentral is "bacterial SSU rRNA". It matches the Rfam family "Bacterial small subunit ribosomal RNA", at positions 334 to 657 of the family's 1533-position model. The record is from RNAcentral.
AGGUCCUACGGGGGGCAGCAGUGGGGAAUAUUGCGCAAUGGGGGAAACCCUGACGCAGCAACGCCGCGUGCGGGAUGAAGGCUUUCGGGUUGUAAACCGCUUUCAGCAGGGAUGACUUCGACAGUACCUGCAGAAGAAGCCCCGGCUAACUACGUGCCAGCAGCCGCGGUAAUACGUAGGGGGCGAGCGUUAUCCGGAUUCAUUGGGCGUACAGCGCGCGCAGGCGGACUCAUACGCGGAGCCCUUAAUCUUGGGGCUUACCCUCAAGUCGGGCCCCGACCUGGGAGUCUCGUGCGGGGAAGGGG